AAUUGUUCCUCGUUAAGGGAUUUAAAUUGUACUCAUUCCAAUUACAAGACCCAAAAGAGCCCUGUAUCAGUAUUUAUUGUCACUACCUCCCCGUGUCGGGAUUGGGUAAUUUGCGCGCCUGCUGCCUUCCUUGGAUGUGGUAGCCGUUUCUCAGGCUCCCUCUCCGGAAUAGAACCCUAAUUCCCCGUUACCCGUUGAAACCAUGGUAGGCCACUAUCCUACCAUCGAAAGUUGAUAGGGCAGAAAUUUGAAUGAACCAUCGCCGGCACAAGGCCAUGCGAUUCGUUAAGUUAUCAUGAAUCACCAAGGAGCCCCGAAGGGCAUUGGUUUUUUAUCUAAUAAAUACACCCCUUCCGAAGUCGAGGUUUUUAGCAUGUAUUAGCUCUAGAAUUACCACGGUUAUCCAAGUAGUAAGGUACUAUCAAAUAAACGAUAACUGAUUUAAUGAGCCAUUCGCAGUUUCACUGUAUAGAUUGCUUAUACUUAGACAUGCAUGGCUUAAUCUUUGAGACAAGCAUAUGACUA
Molecule: ribosomal RNA, 525 nt
Filed under: uncultured eukaryote
Lineage: Eukaryota
Description: partial 18S rRNA
Source: RNAcentral